Molecule: long non-coding RNA, 2262 nt
Organism: Biomphalaria glabrata
Lineage: Eukaryota; Metazoa; Mollusca; Gastropoda; Planorbidae
Exons: 2
Source: RefSeq, a predicted model, not a curated record
AUGAUGAUAAUUUUAAAUUUGCUCAUUUUCAGUGCAUCAUUCACCAAGAAACAUUCUGCGCACAGCAAAUACAGUUUCAACAUGUCAUAAGACCAUUUUCAGUCGCUUCUCAAUUUUAUUCGUGCCCUCGGUUUUAAUGCUUGCCAUUUUUUAUGUUUCUGGAUGACAUUGGACAUGAAUUUGAUUGUGUUCCCUGUCGUGCGCGCGUGAAGUUUUCUUUGCAUUUAAUAUUGGUGUUUUAGCGUAUAGGAAGUAAUUUCUUUUAAGUGCGUUUUGUUGCCUAGAAUAUUGGGUGUGUGUGCGUUUACGUCAUCCUUAGUUCCCGCAAGAGAGAGAGAGCUUCGUUUGUUGGCUGGGUAGCUGGUUUUGUGUUUCCCCCUUGUAAGGGUACGUAAGUACAUAGUUUUAUUAAGUAGGCUGAUCUUUCGGUACGGGUGUCGCUAUUGAAAAGUUCUUUCUGGUAGCGGCAUCGCUAGAUCUAGGUUUUCUUGUCGUUUCAGGGUGUUAGGCUUUGGGCUAUGGGAAAGUGUGUCGCCUUUCCGCCCUUGGAGUUUUGCAGUAACUCUUGUUGUUGAGGUGUAGGGAGUUGAGGUUACGUUGGGCGCCGAGAUGGAGUGUGAGCGUGAAAGCUUUUGGUUCCACAAGGUUGUCAUUGCCAGAAGUGGUAAUGGAUAUAAGCACUCAACUAUCUAUAAAAUGCUUCCUAAUGGCAUGUCUCAAAUAACCUCUGACAACCAGUCUAAUUCCUGGCCUUCGUGUAUGGCUCAGAUUUUAAGUCCAGUGAAACUUUUCACUAAAAGAAGAAGGAAAAAAGGCAAGUAACUGGCACCUAAACCAGUAAGCUUUGGGCAGGAGAGGCUCGUUGGCCUUGGCUGGCCACCCACCUAGAAGAAGGAAAACUCUUUUGCAACUCCAGGAGUUUUUUUUUCUUUCUUUUUUUUUUACAGUUGGGGAGUUCGAGAUUUAGCUAUUUCUCAUGUUUAGAAAGGCAGCUUAAUAGAAAGACCUAAUUUAACAUUUUUAAUUUUAAUUUAUAGUAAAGGUACUUCUAAACUAAUUUUUUCUGAAAUAACACAAGAAGUAAUACUGAACACCUUUGAAAUAUGAAGAUUAAUCACCCUUGUUAGCAUAGAUGCUAUUAGUGUUACAAAUUUGUAACUAAAAGAGGCAUGUUUGUUUUGAUUAUUUAGUAAUAUAUAAGAAACAAAUUAGAGCAUCACUUAUUUCUGACAUAAAUGGUCAAGGGAUGAGGAACAAUUAACAGAUAGCAAAAUGUUAAACUAGAUGAUACUUUUUCUUAUCAACUUGUUAUCAAUACAUCAUCUUAGCUUUACUCUCACCAUAUUAUGGUGACUAUAUGGUGGUGUAAUCUGUCUGGGUUGUUUGGUUUUACAAGUCAGUAGAAACUUGAAGUGGGCUUAAAAUAUAAUGUGAAAUAAAAGGUUUAGCUAAGAAAAUAUUUAGCAUUUGCAAUAGCCAAUACUUCAAAGUUUCUUAACUCUUAACCAAGUGUGAUCUGUUAUGGCACAAAUUGGAAUUAGUUAUUUGUUUCAUAGAAAAUUAAGGAUUUGACUUAGAGACUAUGAUGCAAAUAGUAAAAACAAGACUAGGAUUUAAUGAAGAAUAAUGAAAUGUAAACAGACUAUUUUUAACUGCUUUAGAGGCAGGUUUUAAGAAAAAAAGAGAUUUAGCUUGAUGACAUUUGAUGGUUCCCUUCAUUAUUACUAAACGUCUUAUUCGACAUUCCUUAACAGUAUCAACUAACUUAUAUUGUUGGCCUCUUCACCUGUGUUAUUUGACUUCGUUAUUUGAAUGUUACUGCCGUUUGACUUGUAUGCAUAAGACACCGUGUGGAAGUGCCUAACAGAUCACAUUAUUUUAUCAUAAGCUUCUAAUGUGUAUGAAAAUUGAAAGUAAUUUAUUAAGAAUAUAAAUACACAAAAUAAGAUUAGCCUAAAUUAAGAAAUUCAUCUAUAUUCUAGGCUAAUAUUAAUACAAAAGUAAACUUAAUAUUUGCUCUAAUAUACUAAAAAGCAACUUUAGCAAAUAACUAAUCCAAACCAGAUCCAACAGCAACUAUUUUUUUUUAGUAAUUUCAUAGAAUAAGUAAGAUCUCAUUACAUUCCUGUUAAAAAAAAAUCAAUACAACUAUGUUAUUAUCAAGUAACUUACAUUAACAAAAACUUUAUUGGACUGUAUUUUUUUGUUUAGAUUUAUUGUUGUAAUAUUCUCCAAAGCUAGUAAACACUGUUAAUGAAACAC